RNAcentral lists this long non-coding RNA (541 nucleotides) under Bos taurus (domestic cattle). RNAcentral describes it as "long non-coding RNA NONBTAT006126". Lineage: Eukaryota; Metazoa; Chordata; Mammalia; Artiodactyla; Bovidae. The record is from RNAcentral.
GCCACCAAUGUGUAUCUCAGUCUCAACACUUCAACUUCAUGUAUAAAUAUGGGAUAAUAUUUUGUACCAGUAUGAAUUUCUACUGCCCCCUAACACUGUGUAGUGACUUCAUUGUAUAUUAACUUCUUUUCUACAGAUCUCUGAGCUACCAGGUAAAUCAAUGAAAAAAGUCAAAUUCUGUUAGGAAUCAUCCUAUAUGAUGUUGGUAGCCUGUGAAAAAUGAAUGUCUUUUUUCUUAUACAAACUAUUAACAAGACUUGUUUUCACAAUUCCUUUUUACAUUUCUGUGCAUAUAAUACCUGUAUAUUAUACUCAUAUUCUAAAGUGACCAGAAAGUGUUAUUUAAUAGAAACUGCAUAGCUUUUUUUAUGUCUCUAUGGACCCUUUGACUCUGGAGACUCUUACAAUAAAUUAGCAGUAUAAUAGGCUAUUGUUUUCAAUUAUGAAUAAAAAUGUACAUUGAAGUAAAAGAUGACUACUGUUUUUAAAAAGAUUUUUCCCCAUUCCAAUCUGUAUUCAUUAUAAUAAAAUUAGGAAAGGC